AGUCUAGCAGCUGGAGGGAAGACGCCCUGCACGGUGACAAGCCCCCCAGGGACAGAGGCAAGGAGGCAGGGGGCGGGGUAGGGGGAGCCGACGGAGACCCGAGGAGGGACGGCCUUGCUAGUUGGGCAUUUUGUUUUUAUGUAUUUCCAUCAGCAAGAGAAAAUGACACCUGGUACCAGUGCCUCGCGUUUGGCCAAUGAGCACCGUCACCACCUGAGUUCUGACUGCCCAACAGACCAGGGCCCGCAGCUGGGGUGUGCAGGGCAGGGNGAAGGGCCGCGGAGGCUUGGUUGGUGG
RNAcentral lists this long non-coding RNA (297 nucleotides) under Marmota monax (woodchuck). Lineage: Eukaryota; Metazoa; Chordata; Mammalia; Rodentia; Sciuridae. The record is from RNAcentral.